This 304-nucleotide unclassified non-coding RNA is filed under the name plant metagenome. RNAcentral's name for it is "partial contains 5.8S ribosomal RNA, internal transcribed spacer 2, and large subunit ribosomal RNA". The stretch from base 1 to 105 matches the Rfam family "5.8S ribosomal RNA", at positions 50 to 154 of the family's 154-position model. The record is from RNAcentral.
GAAAUGCGAUAAGUAAUGUGAAUUGCAGAAUUCAGUGAAUCAUCGAAUCUUUGAACGCACAUCGCGCCCGCCAGUAUUCUGGCGGGCAUGCCUGUUCGAGCGUCAUUUCAACCAUCAAGCCCCGGCUUGUGUUGGGGACCUGCGGCUGCCCGCAGGCCCUGAAAAACAGUGGCGGGCUCGCUGUCACACCGAGCGUAGUAGCAUACAUUCUCGCUCAGGGCGUGCUGCGGGUUCCGGCCGUUAAACGACCUUCAUAACCCAAGGUUGACCUCGGAUCAGGUAGGAAGACCCGCUGAACUUAAGC